GAUGGACAAGAAGAAGCGAGAUGGGACAAUAACAAUAUCGAGGGAUGGGAGGAGAAAAAGUAGAUGACAGAAGAACCUAUGAAUGUGCAAGCAAUGAAGAAACCUUGUUGCUUCUUUUGUUUUCUUGAUCUCAGAUCAUUCUGUAACCGUCAUUCACUCAGUCUUACCCCAAGUAUAGUACAAUUUCUCUAAUUUUUUUUAUGAUGCUCUUAAAAUUGAAGUACUUGCAAGAACAGCAACGGUACACAAUCUCUGUUCUUUACGAUAAUGGCUUAAUCUGAAGCGAACCAUGAACAAUUGUGAAGUCAAACCACAGUAAUCAUUAUUUUCGUUACCAAAUAAUUUUGUUCAAGCCUUUCCUUGAAAAGGCUGAACAAUACGAACGAUUUGUUCAAUCUCAAACUCCUCAGCACCAACAAGAACAACAACAAGGUCUGCUCUACUCUCCCAAAGCUCGAUUCUUUCGUUUGCGUAUGUGUAAUUGAAAUAUAGAUUUAGCCUGUGAAUGAUUGAUAGUUAGUUGAUGUUCCAUUUAGUUCUUGGACUGUGGAAGUUAUCAACUGUCUCUAGCACAAUCUCAUGAUGAAAUUUCAGAUAGUUUUUGAGCUAUUGCAAAAGAAAGUAUCAAUCUCUGCUUCCUAUUGAUAACAAUUUGUAUUAGCAGAAUCUCGUAAUUUUUUCAAAGAUUAUUUAUGGCAGAAUGAUAAGCUCAUAAUGACGGAAUCUGUUUUUGAACGUUCUGCCAAUCAUCCAUGAUUGGUCAUUUUAGAGCUUUCUGAAUACUCCCAAUUAGUUGGAUGAGUGAGCCCUUUAUGUUCUUAGUCAUUGCUGUCUUAAAUGUAAUCCAUGGUGUCUGUUAGAAUCUCUAACUUAGAACUUUUGAUUGUUCAUAAAUCAUAAUGUAGAUGGACAAGAAGAAGGGAGAUGGGACAAUAACAAUAUCGAGGGAUGGGAGGAGAAAAAGUAGAUGACAGAACCUAUGAAUGUGCAAGCAAUGAAGAAACCUUGUUGCUUCUUUUGUUUUCUUGAUCUCAGAUCAUUCUGUAACCGUCAUUCACUCAGUCUUACCCCAAGUAUAGUACAAUUUCUCUAAUUUUUUUUAUGAUGC
Molecule: long non-coding RNA, 1108 nt
Filed under: Brassica rapa (field mustard)
Lineage: Eukaryota; Viridiplantae; Streptophyta; Magnoliopsida; Brassicales; Brassicaceae
Description: long non-coding RNA (BRAP_LNC000849)
Source: RNAcentral